This 468-nucleotide ribosomal RNA is filed under the name uncultured bacterium. RNAcentral's name for it is "partial 16S ribosomal RNA". It matches the Rfam family "Bacterial small subunit ribosomal RNA", at positions 28 to 507 of the family's 1533-position model. The record is from RNAcentral.
GACGAACGCUGGCGGCGUGCUUAACACAUGCAAGUCGAACGGAAAGGCCCUGCUUUUGUGGGGUGCUCGAGUGGCGAACGGGUGAGUAACACGUGAGUAACCUGCCCUUGACUUUGGGAUAACUUCAGGAAACUGGGGCUAAUACCGGAUAGGAGCUCCUGCUGCAUGGUGGGGGUUGGAAAGUUUCGGCGGUUGGGGAUGGACUCGCGGCUUAUCAGCGUGUUGGUGGGGUAGUGGCUUACCAAGGCUUUGACGGGUAGCCGGCCUGAGAGGGUGACCGGCCACAUUGGGCCUGCGAUACGGCGCAGACUCCUACGGGAGGCGGCAGUGGGGAAUAUUGCACAAUGGCCGGACGCCUGAUGCAACAGCGCUGCGUGCGGGAUGCCGGCCUUCGGGUUGUAAACCGCUUUCGCCUGUGACGAAGCGUGAGUGACGGUAAUGGGUAAAGAAGCACCGGCUAACUACGUG